RNAcentral lists this transfer RNA (87 nucleotides) under Colletotrichum falcatum. Its description in RNAcentral is "tRNA-Pro". The record is from RNAcentral. Lineage: Eukaryota; Fungi; Ascomycota; Sordariomycetes; Glomerellales; Glomerellaceae.
GCCCUGAUGGUCUAGCGGUAUGAUUCUCCCUUAGGGCUAAAAACCCGCAUCUGGGAGAGGUCCCAGGUUCGAUCCCUGGUUAGGGCC